Molecule: unclassified non-coding RNA, 798 nt
Filed under: uncultured cyanobacterium
Lineage: Bacteria; Bacillati; Cyanobacteriota
Description: partial contains 16S ribosomal RNA, 16S-23S ribosomal RNA intergenic spacer, and 23S ribosomal RNA
Rfam family: Bacterial small subunit ribosomal RNA (bases 1-113)
Source: RNAcentral
CGAAGUCGUUACUUUAACCCUUGUGGAGAAGGACGCCGAAGGUGGGGCUGAUGACUGGGGUGAAGUCGUAACAAGGUAGCCGUACCGGAAGGUGCGGCUGGAUCACCUCCUAACAGGGAGACAAUAAAUUGAUUGUGAUGUCUAAGUUAUUUAUUCUUAGGCCGCAAUCCUGUCACCUUAAGGUCGAUCGGUACCUCAGAUUUUUGAAUUAGUUUUAUAAUUGAUUCUUUGAUUUCAGUUCCUAAACUUGUCUAGGUCACACCCAACAAAGGUUUCUCCUGGGCCAUUAGCUCAGGUGGUUAGAGCGCACCCCUGAUAAGGGUGAGGUCCCUGGUUCAAGUCCAGGAUGGCCCAUUCGUUGUUGGGGGUAUAGCUCAGUUGGUAGAGCGCCUGCUUUGCAAGCAGGAUGUCAGCGGUUCGAGUCCGCUUACCUCCACUGAAAGCUAUCCUGAUAACUAAAUUCUGGAGAAAAAAAUUGUAGAUGUGGCUUAGAAUUGUCUAUUUGAAGAGAACCUAGCUUCUUGUCAUCUUUUUAUAGUUGAUAAAAUGCUGGGCUCGCAUGGAUUAUUUCCAUGAGAAUUCAGUAGAACCUUGAAAACUGCAUAGAUAAGAAAGAAUAAAGCAUCUCAUGGAUGCAUAAUUCUGUUUUUAUAAUUUAGCCUUAAAACCAAAUUAUUUAAUUCUAGAAUUCACGUUUAAUUCUUGAGUAAAAGCCGAGCACAAUUGAUUUUGUGAUUGUAUUUAAGGUCAAGCUACAAAGGGCUCAUGGCGGAUACCUUGGCACACAGAGGCGAUGAA